Molecule: long non-coding RNA, 537 nt
Filed under: Setaria viridis
Lineage: Eukaryota; Viridiplantae; Streptophyta; Magnoliopsida; Poales; Poaceae
Description: long non-coding RNA (SVIR_LNC001805)
Source: RNAcentral
GAGUAUUUCUCCGUAUCAAAUUGUAGGUCGUUUUGGCAAUUCUAAGUUCAUAAGUUUUGCUAUGUAUCCAUAUAUAUAUAUAUUAUGUUAAAAGCUAUAAAUUUAGAAAUAUCGAAAUGAGUUCCAAUUUGAAACAGAGUAAACAGUAAUUGAAAAUAUAGUUAACUUUAGAUUCGUUCUAAGUCAAAUUGUCUUUAAUUUUGACUAUAUUUUUUAAUAUCCAAUAAAUACACUACGAAAAUAUAUUUGGUUAUGAUUCUAAUAUAAGUUAUUGGACCUUGAACUUCACUCCUUAAAAUAAUACUACUCCCCUAUCUCAAACUAUAGGUCGUUUUGGUUUUUCUAGAUUUAUAAAUAUUAUUUUGCAUCUAGACAUAAGGUAUAUCUAAGUGCAUUAAAAAAUCUAAGAAUCUAAAAAUGCUAAAAUGGUCUAUAAUUUAUAAUGGAGGAAGUAUUAUAAUUUGGAAGGAAGAGUACUCUAGACUCUACUCUCACAUCUACUUGCUCCUCGUGGCAUCCUAACUCUAAUCCCGGCAC